RNAcentral lists this ribosomal RNA (460 nucleotides) under uncultured bacterium. RNAcentral's name for it is "partial 16S ribosomal RNA". It matches the Rfam family "Bacterial small subunit ribosomal RNA", at positions 338 to 795 of the family's 1533-position model. The record is from RNAcentral.
CCUACGGGAGGCUGCAGUGAGGAAUAUUGGUCAAUGGACGAGAGUCUGAACCAGCCAAGUAGCGUGAAGGAUGACUGCCCUAUGGGUUGUAAACUUCUUUUAUAUGGGAAUAAAAUGUUCCACGUGUGGGAUUUUGUAUGUACCAUAUGAAUAAGGAUCGGCUAACUCCGUGCCAGCAGCCGCGGUAAUACGGAGGAUCCGAGCGUUAUCCGGAUUUAUUGGGUUUAAAGGGAGCGUAGGUGGAUUGUUAAGUCAGUUGUGAAAGUUUGCGGCUCAACCGUAAAAUUGCAGUUGAAACUGGCAGUCUUGAGUACAGUAGAGGUGGGUGGAAUUCGUGGUGUAGCGGUGAAAUGCUUAGAUAUCACGAAGAACUCCGAUUGCGAAGGCAGUUCACUGGACUGCAACUGACACUGAGGCUCGAAAGUGUGGGUAUCAAACAGGAUUAGAUACCCUUGUAGUC